UCUCUCAUACCUGUUUUCUGACCUACCAUGAACAAUUUUAGUAAAACUCUUGAAUAAUAAUAAAAAAUGAAAAUUUGAUUAAAAAAAGAAAAAGUGGCAAGAAUGUAUAAUGAAAAUAUUUUAUUUCAUAAGCACAAUAAGUAACCAAUUCUACAUGUUCUCUGGGGAGAUUUGUCACUAUAAGUGCUUUAAUAUUUUUAAUUUUUAACUUGAAGGUUACUUUUUAAUGCUAACUUCAUAAAAAAUGGGCAUGGUACGAGCAUACAUACAUAUAUACAGAGCUCAAUGACAAAAAAUUAUAC
This 302-nucleotide unclassified non-coding RNA is filed under the name Hevea brasiliensis (rubber tree). The record is from RNAcentral. Lineage: Eukaryota; Viridiplantae; Streptophyta; Magnoliopsida; Malpighiales; Euphorbiaceae.